This 789-nucleotide ribosomal RNA is filed under the name uncultured bacterium. RNAcentral describes it as "bacterial SSU rRNA". It matches the Rfam family "Bacterial small subunit ribosomal RNA", at positions 8 to 798 of the family's 1533-position model. The record is from RNAcentral.
AGAGUUUGAUCAUGGCUCAGGACGAACGCUGGCGGCGUGCUUAACACAUGCAAGUCGAACGGAAAGGCCCCUUCGGGGGUACUCGAGUGGCGAACGGGUGAGUAACACGUGGGUGAUCUGCCCUGCACUUUGGGAUAAGCCUGGGAAACUGGGUCUAAUACCGAAUAGGACCGCAUGCUUCAUGGUGUGUGGUGGAAAGCUUUUGCGAUGUGGGAUGGGCCCGCGGCCUAUCAGCUUGUUGGUGGGGUAAUGGCCUACCAAGGCGACGACGGGUAGCCGGCCUGAGAGGGUGUCCGGCCACACUGGGACUGAGAUACGGCCCAGACUCCUACGGGAGGCAGCAGUGGGGAAUAUUGCACAAUGGGCGCAAGCCUGAUGCAGCGACGCCGCGUGGGGGAUGACGGCCUUCGGGUUGUAAACCUCUUUCAGUAUCGGCGAAGCUCCAGGAUUUUUCUUGGGGUGACGGUAGGUACAGAAGAAGCACCGGCCAACUACGUGCCAGCAGCCGCGGUAAUACGUAGGGUGCGAGCGUUGUCCGGAAUUACUGGGCGUAAAGAGCUCGUAGGUGGUUUGUCACGUUGUCUGUGAAAACUCACAGCUUAACUGUGGGCGUGCGGGCGAUACGGGCAGACUGGAGUACUGUAGGGGAGACUGGAAUUCCUGGUGUAGCGGUGGAAUGCGCAGAUAUCAGGAGGAACACCGGUGGCGAAGGCGGGUCUCCGGGCAGUAACUGACGCUGAGGAGCGAAAGCGUGGGGAGCGAACAGGAUUAGAUACCCUGGUAGUCCAA